RNAcentral lists this unclassified non-coding RNA (257 nucleotides) under uncultured Hypocreales. Its description in RNAcentral is "sequence contains 5.8S rRNA gene, ITS2, 28S rRNA gene". The stretch from base 1 to 52 matches the Rfam family "5.8S ribosomal RNA", at positions 103 to 154 of the family's 154-position model. The record is from RNAcentral. Lineage: Eukaryota; Fungi; Ascomycota; Sordariomycetes; Hypocreales.
AACGCACAUUGCGCCCGCCAGUAUUCUGGCGGGCAUGCCUGUUCGAGCGUCAUUUCAACCCUCAAGCCCCCGGGUUUGGUGUUGGGGAUCGGCGAGCCUCACGGCAAGCCGGCCCCGAAAUACAGUGGCGGUCUCGCUGCAGCUUCCAUUGCGUAGUAGUAAAACCCUCGCAACUGGUACGCGGCGCGGCCAAGCCGUUAAACCCCCAACUUCUGAAUGUUGACCUCGGAUCAGGUAGGAAUACCCGCUGAACUUAA